AGCGAACGCUGGCGGCAGGCUUAACACAUGCAAGUCGAGCGCCAUUUCGGUGGAGCGGCAGACGGGUGAGUAACGCGUGGGAACGUACCUUUUGGUUCGGAAUAUUCUCGGGAAACUGAGAGCAAUACCGGAUAAGCCCUACGGGGGAAAGAUUUAUCGCCAAUAGAGCGGCCCGCGUUAGAUUAGCUAGUUGGUGGGGUAAAGGCCUACCAAGGCUACGAUCUAUAGCUGGUCUGAGAGGAUGAUCAGCCACACUGGGACUGAGACACGGCCCAGACUCCUACGGGAGGCAGCAGUGGGGAAUUUUCCGCAAUGGGCGCAAGCCUGACGGAGCAAGACCGCGUGGGGGAGGAAGGCUCUUGGGUUGUAAACCCCUUUUCUCAGGGAAGAACCAAAUGACGGUACCUGAGGAAUCAGCCUCGGCUAACUCCGUGCCAGCAGCCGCGGUAAUACGGAGGAGGCAAGCGUUAUCCGGAAUGAUUGGGCGUAAAGCGUUCGUAGGUGGCUAUUCAAGUCUGCUGUCAAAGACAGAAGCUCAACUUCUGAAAGGCAGUGGAAACUGAGUAGCUGGAGUGCGGUAGGGGCAGAGGGAAUUCCCGGUGUAGCGGUGAAAUGCGUAGAGAUCGGGAAGAACACCGGUGGCGAAAGCGCUCUGCUGGGCCGCAACUGACACUGAGGGACGAAAGCUAGGGGAGCGAAUGGGAUUAGAUACCCCAGUAGUCCUAGCUGUAAACGAUGGAAACUAGGUGUUGCCUGUAUCGACCCAGGCAGUGCCGUAGCUAACGCGUUAAGUUUCCCGCCUGGGGAGUACGCACGCAAGUGUGAAACUCAAGGAAUUGACGGGGGCCCGCACAAGCGGUGGAGUAUGUGGUUUAAUUCGAUGCAACGCGAAGAACCUUACCAGGGCUUGACAUGUCCGGAACCCUGGCGAAAGCUAGGGGUGCCUUCGGGAGCCGGAACACAGGUGGUGCAUGGCUGUCGUCAGCUCGUGUCGUGAGAUGUUGGGUUAAGUCCCGCAACGAGCGCAACCCUCGUUCUUAGUUGCCAUCAUUAAGUUGGGCACUCUAGGGAGACUGCCGGUGACAAACCGGAGGAAGGUGGGGAUGACGUCAAGUCAUCAUGCCCCUUACGUCCUGGGCUACACACGUACUACAAUGGGAAGGACAGAGGGCAGCCACUUCGCGAGGAGGAGCUAAUCCCGUAAACCUUUCCUCAGUUCAGAUUGCAGGCUGCAACUCGCCUGCAUGAAGGAGGAAUCGCUAGUAAUCGCAGGUCAGCAUACUGCGGUGAAUCCGUUCCCGGGCCUUGUACACACCGCCCGUCACACCAUGGAAGUUAGCCAUGCCCGAAGUCAUUACUCUAACCUUUCGAGGAGGAGGGUGCCGAAGGCAGGGCUGAUGACUGGGGUGAAGUCGUAACAAGGUAGCCGUACCGGAAGGUGUGGCUGGAUCACCUCCUUUUUAGGGAGACCAAACUUCGGUUGAGCUAACCCCAAUUUACAAGCCAACUGAGGUCAUCCCAGGUCGUGCGAGGAAUUGAGUAACUACUAGGCUUUCAAACUUUCGGUUCGGAUAUUAUGAAAUACUUAACUACUGAAUAUCUCUUCAAAAAAGAGAUAAACAGUGCAGCACCUAAAAUUCCAAGAAAAGAGGGUUUAGGAUGCUGGACGAAAGUUCAGUCAGAACCUGGAAAACUGCAUAGAGAAUCAGGCAAAAGGUAAGACCGUAACAGACUUUUCAAAUGAGAGGUCAAGCUAGAAAGAGCUAACGGUGGAU
RNAcentral lists this ribosomal RNA (1775 nucleotides) under uncultured Lyngbya sp. RNAcentral's name for it is "bacterial SSU rRNA". The stretch from base 1 to 1460 matches the Rfam family "Bacterial small subunit ribosomal RNA". Lineage: Bacteria; Bacillati; Cyanobacteriota; Cyanophyceae; Oscillatoriales; Microcoleaceae. The record is from RNAcentral.